AACGGAGAUCGUGACAGCGCUGCACUGCUCCGGGUCGCGACCAGACGACGACAAGCGGCGAGAGGGGCCGAUCGCGAUCGGGCAGCCAUGUCGACGUCGCGGAGGCGGACACUCCUCAAGGUCAUCGUCCUCGGCGACAGCGGGGUCGGGAAGACGUCGCUGAUGAACCAGUAUCCUUGACUUGAUUCCCUCAGUGUGUCGUGUUUUGGUAAUUAGACGCCGUUUCAUGUCCGUGCAGUCGGUCCCUCCAUUUCGUGUGAAUUGCUUUUUGCCCCAUGGAUCAACUUACGCCAUAGUGCUCGGAAGGCUGCAAAUUUGCAGCUCCUAUCGAUAAUCUGUGGCAUUUUAUAGACAUAUGAGUUUCAUCCGUUGAGCUGUAAGAACGCAUCUCUUUAGUUUUGGGGUAUGGAAUUUCGGAUUACCGUGAGCUCACACUGUUUACCUGCAUUCUCAUUCCUUGUGCUGUGCGUGAGCGGGACCUGUGAUUUUGUGAAUCUCGUUCUGAAAGCUCUGGUACAUUCGAACGUCAUGCUUAUUGCAGUCGGUGUCCGUACCAGAGGGGAUGGCGAGCUCCUUCUCCUUCACGCUGUUUUCACCAACGGAGAUCGUGACAGCGCUGCACUGCUCCGGGUCGCGACCAGACGACGACAAGCGGCGAGAGGGGCCGAUCGCGAUCGGGCAGCCAUGUCGACGUCGCGGAGGCGGACACUCCUCAAGGUCAUCGUCCUCGGCGACAGCGGGGUCGGGAAGACGUCGCUGAUGAACCAGUAUCCUUGACUUGAUUCCCUCAGUGUGUCGUGUUUUGGUAAUUAGACGCCGUUUCAUGUCCGUGCAGUCGGUCCCUCCAUUUCGUGUGAAUUGCUUUUUGCCCCAUGGAUCAACUUACGCCAUAGUGCUCGGAAGGCUGCAAAUUUGCAGCUCCUAUCGAUAAUCUGUGGCAUUUUAUAGACAUAUGAGUUUCAUCCGUUGAGCUGUAAGAACGCAUCUCUUUAGUUUUGGGGUAUGGAAUUUCGGAUUACCGUGAGCUCACACUGUUUACCUGCAUUCUCAUUCCUUGUGCUGUGCGUGAGCGGGACCUGUGAUUUUGUGAAUCUCGUUCUGAAAGCUCUGGUACAUUCGAACGUCAUGCUUAUUGCAGUCGGUGUCCGUACCAGAGGGGAUGGCGAGCUCCUUCUCCUUCACGCUGUUUUCACCAACGGAGAUCGUGACGGCGCUGCACUGCUACGGCAUCGCGCCUAGCCCCACCCUCUACGCCGAUCACGUCAAAAUCCUCGGCCUAGCUUCAUCACCAAGGUCCUCCAACUCUUCCUCGUCGACAUUCUUGGGUACGCCUGCAGCCUGCUCCCCAUCUCACCUGGAUCUGGCCUCAUCUCUGCAUUUGCUUGCUUUGUGGGGGCGGCGGCGGAUCUACAAGAGGGCCAAUGCCUUUCUCCAGUCCAUCCAGUUUCAGGACCACAUGCUCCGCGGCCUCCUCCGCGCGGAUAGUCCCCUUGUCGUCUACAUCCUCAGCGCCCCCAUCAACUUCCUUCACAGGCAUGAUAGCUCACAGCCCAUCACCAAAGAGUACGGCCCGCUUGAGGAACGGAUGAAGAAGCUCAUGGCUAAGAUCGCUGAGCAGCUCGAGAAGGAGUUCCAUGCCCUCAAGUGGAGGCUUCAUGAUUACAACAGAGAGCAGUUGUCGCUGCAUGUUGCAUCAAAAAGCCAUAGACGAAAAGAUAGAGUUAAGACUUAGGAAGAUCAACUAGGUGGAUUUUGAGUUGGUGAAAGCUAUGCAAGACAAGAAAAGUCUAUCAGACAAAACUGCUCAAUCCUCUAAAAAGCUCCAGGUAGGUUGUAUGUUUGUUUGUUUUAAACUGCUACAGGCAUAAAGUUUAUCAGGAAUUGAAUGUGUUUGAAUGCCUAAGCUACAAAAACCGAAAUCCAUUCAUACAAGCAACUCUGUAGGUUCUAGAAUUACUUUCCAUGGUAGAACAACAAGCCAUAGUUUUCCUAACUGUCUUACUCAAUUCAACUAGGACUUGCAAGUAUGUUGUCCUCCUUUCAAGUGUCGGAAUGAAUUUAUCUCUUCACAGUUCACCAUAACUAUGAAUGAAUUAUUUAGUCAACAUAUCAUUGCAAUCGUCAUUGGGUGCUCUAUCUAAGAUUGCGUUCUUUUUUUAAAAAAAAAUUGUCCACUGUCCCAGAAUCAGUAGUGUUUUCUUCUUUAUGUGCUAUGAGUGUAUUUUUUAUGUGCUUACAUUGUCAAAUUGCUUCGGUCAGAAUUAUGAGCUUCAAUCAGAUAAUCACCAUCUUGUGCUAGCUUCCAUAGUAACUAUGGAUUUUAUCUCCUACAACUAAAAUUUCAAUCAUUUUAUCUUUUAAUAUAUUUGUUGACAUGACAUAAAAGGUGUAUUUAUUUGUCCUGUGGCUAGCCAAGGCCUAGAAUCUAAAAUUUCUGAACUUGAAUCUUCGUUGGAUUGCUAGAUGUUUAUGAACAAGUGUGCUAAUAUAAUGUGUGUUUCGUUCUGUUCUGCUGUUGUACAAAAGUUGAAUGCCAAGAAGGUUAUUUUAAGUGGGAAGAACAGCUGCAGAGAAGUCAUUUAGAUUCUGUGUUCUCAGGUCUAAUGUGAAGUAACCCUUCUCACUUUUCAAUUUAUUUUUCUGUUCCCCUACCUUUUUGUCUCAGAGAACCAUCUAGCCUGGACAUGUAGUCUGCUACUGUAGUAAAUAUGCAAUCCUGAAUAGCAAGCCUGAACCUGCUAACUGUUUAGUACAGAGAAGCAAUGAACUGUGAUGAGCUAAGUGUGUAAUUUGAAUUUCUUGACAGCAUCACAAGUAUUGCCCAUUGGGUGAAUCUUAUGCAUUUGUGAAGUCGUUUAUAACUUAAAUUCACUUAAAGGCAUCCUUCUACUGACACACUAUUCAUCAGUGACCUAAUUGUGCUCAGGGUACUACAAGCGAGAGGACCUAAUAAACAAAGUUAUGGUCGAUGGCUGGUUCCACAUAGGUAUAACGAUCCAUGUUCCAGUAUUCCUGCAGCAUCUGAUCGAACAUGUCCAUGUCAGCAUCACUGGCGGUCAAAAAAAUGUCUAAGGGAACUGGUGCUUUCAUAGCCCUGCUUUGUCUACAAUUUUAUGGCAUGCAUUAACUCCUCGAAGAUCAUUGAUAACUGUCUUGAAAGUGACCCUGACUUAACUUGCCAUCAGAAAUACCUUUGAAAAUUUUCCAAAAGUCUAGAUAUCUUUCCAACAGUUCACUGUCAAAAUAUUACUAUUUAUUAUUGCAGGAGACAUUGGGGAGAGGCAGUCCGACAGAAGCAUGAAGAUCAUUGACCGCGAAGA
Sorghum bicolor (sorghum) is the source of this 3320-nucleotide RNA transcript. RefSeq lists it as uncharacterized. The record is from RefSeq and is a predicted model, not a curated record. The transcript has 5 exons. NCBI's taxonomy places the organism in Eukaryota, Viridiplantae, Streptophyta, Magnoliopsida, Poales, Poaceae.